RNAcentral lists this ribosomal RNA (1469 nucleotides) under Lactiplantibacillus plantarum. RNAcentral's name for it is "bacterial SSU rRNA". It matches the Rfam family "Bacterial small subunit ribosomal RNA". The record is from RNAcentral. Lineage: Bacteria; Bacillati; Bacillota; Bacilli; Lactobacillales; Lactobacillaceae.
CCCUUAUUUAGCCUCUCAAUGUCCGUAACGAACUCUAGGUAUUGAUUGGUGCUUGCAUCAUGAUUUACAUUUGAGUGAGUGGCGAACUGGUGAGUAACACGUGGGAAACCUGCCCAGAAGCGGGGGAUAACACCUGGAAACAGAUGCUAAUACCGCAUAACAACUUGGACCGCAUGGUCCGAGUUUGAAAGAUGGCUUCGGCUAUCACUUUUGGAUGGUCCCGCGGCGUAUUAGCUAGAUGGUGGGGUAACGGCUCACCAUGGCAAUGAUACGUAGCCGACCUGAGAGGGUAAUCGGCCACAUUGGGACUGAGACACGGCCCAAACUCCUACGGGAGGCAGCAGUAGGGAAUCUUCCACAAUGGACGAAAGUCUGAUGGAGCAACGCCGCGUGAGUGAAGAAGGGUUUCGGCUCGUAAAACUCUGUUGUUAAAGAAGAACAUAUCUGAGAGUAACUGUUCAGGUAUUGACGGUAUUUAACCAGAAAGCCACGGCUAACUACGUGCCAGCAGCCGCGGUAAUACGUAGGUGGCAAGCGUUGUCCGGAUUUAUUGGGCGUAAAGCGAGCGCAGGCGGUUUUUUAAGUCUGAUGUGAAAGCCUUCGGCUCAACCGAAGAAGUGCAUCGGAAACUGGGAAACUUGAGUGCAGAAGAGGACAGUGGAACUCCAUGUGUAGCGGUGAAAUGCGUAGAUAUAUGGAAGAACACCAGUGGCGAAGGCGGCUGUCUGGUCUGUAACUGACGCUGAGGCUCGAAAGUAUGGGUAGCAAACAGGAUUAGAUACCCUGGUAGUCCAUACCGUAAACGAUGAAUGCUAAGUGUUGGAGGGUUUCCGCCCUUCAGUGCUGCAGCUAACGCAUUAAGCAUUCCGCCUGGGGAGUACGGCCGCAAGGCUGAAACUCAAAGGAAUUGACGGGGGCCCGCACAAGCGGUGGAGCAUGUGGUUUAAUUCGAAGCUACGCGAAGAACCUUACCAGGUCUUGACAUACUAUGCAAAUCUAAGAGAUUAGACGUUCCCUUCGGGGACAUGGAUACAGGUGGUGCAUGGUUGUCGUCAGCUCGUGUCGUGAGAUGUUGGGUUAAGUCCCGCAACGAGCGCAACCCUUAUUAUCAGUUGCCAGCAUUAAGUUGGGCACUCUGGUGAGACUGCCGGUGACAAACCGGAGGAAGGUGGGGAUGACGUCAAAUCAUCAUGCCCCUUAUGACCUGGGCUACACACGUGCUACAAUGGAUGGUACAACGAGUUGCGAACUCGCGAGAGUAAGCUAAUCUCUUAAAGCCAUUCUCAGUUCGGAUUGUAGGCUGCAACUCGCCUACAUGAAGUCGGAAUCGCUAGUAAUCGCGGAUCAGCAUGCCGCGGUGAAUACGUUCCCGGGCCUUGUACACACCGCCCGUCACACCAUGAGAGUUUGUAACACCCAAAGUCGGUGGGGUAACCUUUAUAGUAACCUACGGGGGCAUGGAGGACCCG